This 208-nucleotide ribosomal RNA is filed under the name uncultured bacterium. RNAcentral's name for it is "partial 16S ribosomal RNA". It matches the Rfam family "Bacterial small subunit ribosomal RNA", at positions 568 to 774 of the family's 1533-position model. The record is from RNAcentral.
AGUGUAGGUGGCUCAUUAAGUCACAUGUGAAAUCCCCGGGCUUAACCUGGGAACUGCAUGUGAUACUGGUGGUGCUAGAAUAUGUGAGAGGGAAGUAGAAUUCCAGGUGUAGCGGCGAAAUGCGUAGAGAUCUGGAGGAAUACCGAUGGCGAAGGCAGCUUCCUGGCAUAAUAUUGACACUGAGAUUCGAAAGCGUGGGUAGCAAACA